AGUGAACGCUGGCGGUAGGCCUAACACAUGCAAGUCGAACGGCAGCACAGUAAGAGCUUGCUCUUACGGGUGGCGAGUGGCGGACGGGUGAGGAAUACAUCGGAAUCUACUUUUUCGUGGGGGAUAACGUAGGGAAACUUACGCUAAUACCGCAUACGACCUACGGGUGAAAGCAGGGGAUCUUCGGACCUUGCGCGAUUGAAUGAGCCGAUGUCGGAUUAGCUAGUUGGCGGGGUAAAGGCCCACCAAGGCGACGAUCCGUAGCUGGUCUGAGAGGAUGAUCAGCCACACUGGAACUGGAACACGGUCCAGACUCCUACGGGAGGCAGCAGUGGGGAAUAUUGGACAAUGGGCGCAAGCCUGAUCCAGCCAUCCCGCGUGGGUGAAGGAGGCCUUCGGGUUGUAAAGCCCUUUUGUUGGGAAAGAAAAGCAGCAGGUUAAUACCCCGCUGUUCUGACGGUACCCAAAGAAUAAGCACCGGCUAACUUCGUG
Molecule: ribosomal RNA, 492 nt
Filed under: uncultured bacterium
Lineage: Bacteria
Description: partial 16S ribosomal RNA
Rfam family: Bacterial small subunit ribosomal RNA
Source: RNAcentral